AUUUUUCCUAGGCAUAUCAUGCACAAUAGAAGAACUAGAAGCAUGCAUAGCAUAUGAAUCAUAAGAGUAAUUCCUAUAAGCAUUUCUAGAGAAUUUUCUAUCACUAUAAAUGAAAGCAUGAUUCUUUUGAACACUAUUAGCCAUAGGGGCCUUCCCUUUCUCCUUGGCGGAGAUGGGAGCCUUAUGACUUGUUAAGUUCUUGACUUCCCUCUUAAAGCCAAGCCCAUCCUUAAUUGAGGGGUGUCUACCAACAGUGUAGGCAUCCCUUGCAAAUUUUAGUUUAUCAAAUUCAUUUUUGCUAGUCUUAAGUUGGGCAUUAAGACUAGCCACUUCACCAUUUAGUUUUGCAAUAGAAGUAAGGUGCUCAACACAUGCAUCAACAUUAAAGUCCUUACACCUAUUGCAUAUCACUACAUGUUCU
RNAcentral lists this long non-coding RNA (421 nucleotides) under Zea mays. RNAcentral describes it as "drought responsive lncRNA". Lineage: Eukaryota; Viridiplantae; Streptophyta; Magnoliopsida; Poales; Poaceae. The record is from RNAcentral.